Molecule: ribosomal RNA, 681 nt
Filed under: uncultured bacterium
Lineage: Bacteria
Description: bacterial SSU rRNA
Rfam family: Bacterial small subunit ribosomal RNA
Source: RNAcentral
CAUGCAAGUCGAACGGUGAUCUCCGCUUGCGGGGUGAUCAGUGGCGAACGGGUGAGUAACACGUGGGCAACCUGCCCCCGGCUCUGGGAUAACUCCAAGAAAUUGGGGCUAAUACCGGAUAUCCACUGCUGGCCGCAUGGUCUGGUGGUGGAAAGGGUUUCCGGCUGGGGAUGGGCCCGCGGCCUAUCAGCUUGUUGGUGGGGUAGUGGCCUACCAAGGCGACGACGGGUAGCCGGCCUGAGAGGGUGACCGGCCACACUGGGACUGAGACACGGCCCAGACUCCUACGGGAGGCAGCAGUGGGGAAUAUUGCGCAAUGGGCGGAAGCCUGACGCAGCGACGCCGCGUGGGGGAUGACGGCCUUCGGGUUGUAAACCUCUUUCAGCAGGGACGAAGCGCAAGUGACGGUACCUGCAGAAGAAGCACCGGCCAACUACGUGCCAGCAGCCGCGGUAAUACGUAGGGUGCAAGCGUUAUCCGGAAUUAUUGGGCGUAAAGAGCUCGUAGGCGGUUUGUCGCGUCUGCCGUGAAAGUCCGGGGCUUAACUCCGGAUCUGCGGUGGGUACGGGCAGACUAGAGUGCAGUAGGGGAGACUGGAAUUCCUGGUGUAGCGGUGAAAUGCGCAGAUAUCAGAGGAACACCGAUGGCGAAAGCAGGUCUCUGGGCUGUAACUGACGCUGA